GACGAUUGUAAACAAAUCCGUACGGGCUUCGACUCAACGAAAAACCCUCGACCUUUGACAAAUCGAAGAAGACGAAGCAACAACGAAACAAUAGCAACUGCUGCGACGAGCAACAGUCCGUCGAGAAGCAGCAGAAACAGACGUCCUGGCAGCAGCGCGACGGAGGAAGAAGAAACUGCAUGAAGCAGUCCGUCGAGAAGCAGCAGAAAUAGACGUCUUAGCAGCAGCGCGACGGAGGAAGAAGAAACUGCAUGAAGCAGUAGCAGCUGGGAGCCGAACGCAGCAGUAAUGAUGGAAACGGGCAGCAGUGGCGCGAGCAACAUCCAUGGCUGGAGCUCGGAUCUUCGACCACCCAAUUCGAAGUCGACGAAACAAAGAAGAUGAAACAGUAGCAGUAGCGCGAGUAGCAUCCAUGGCUGGACUGUUAGGACGUGAAGUUGAGGACUGAUUCUGCAGUGGAAAUGAUGAUGGUGAAAGGGAGUCGACGGACUGGUCGUCGAUGAUGAAGACACAGCAAUAGCGACCAUGGUUGUCGAGUUCGAGCUUGAAGGUGGUUAUGUGGUUUUAAUGGAUGACGGGGGGGUCGUUUGGACGCGAGGGUGUUUGUGUGG
Molecule: long non-coding RNA, 611 nt
Filed under: Nicotiana tabacum (common tobacco)
Lineage: Eukaryota; Viridiplantae; Streptophyta; Magnoliopsida; Solanales; Solanaceae
Description: long non-coding RNA (NTAB_LNC010988)
Source: RNAcentral